UGGGGAAUCUUAGACAAUGGGGGCAACCCUGAUCUAGCCAUGCCGCGUGAGUGAUGAAGGCCUUAGGGUUGUAAAGCUCUUUCAGCUGGGAAGAUAAUGACGGCACCAGCAGAAGAAGCCCCGGCUAACUCCGUGCCAGCAGCCGCGGUAAUACGGAGGGGGCUAGCGUUGUUCGGAAUUACUGGGCGUAAGGCGCACGUAGGCGGACUGGAAAGUUGGGGGUGAAAUCCCGGGGCUCAACCUCGUAACUGCUUUCAAAACUAUCAGUCUGGAGUUCGAGAGAGGUGAGUGGAUUUCCGAGAGUAGAGAUGAAAUUCGUUGAUAUUCGGAAGAACAACAGUGGCGAAGGCGGCUCACUGGCUCGAUACUGACGCUGAGGUGCGAAAGCGUGGGGAGCAAACAGG
This 404-nucleotide ribosomal RNA is filed under the name Acidobacteriota bacterium. Its description in RNAcentral is "Acidobacteria bacterium partial 16S ribosomal RNA". It matches the Rfam family "Bacterial small subunit ribosomal RNA", at positions 355 to 776 of the family's 1533-position model. Lineage: Bacteria; Pseudomonadati; Acidobacteriota. The record is from RNAcentral.